GAGCUCCAGCUGAGGGCAGAGCUCUGGCUGCAGAUCCCAGCUUGGGGGGCUCCAGACCUGUUGCUCCCCGCACAGGGCUGGUGGAACGUGGAGUGCGAAGCUGCUGGGGGUCACGGUGGGGCAGCAGGAGCAGCUCCAGCUCUGUCUGCACCGAGGAUGUGGCUGCCAGGUGUUGGGAGGGCACAGUGGGGAUCUAUGAGGAGGAGGAUGAUGGCAGUGGGCAGGAUGGGGCCCCGCUCCCAUGUCUGUGUCCCUGGCAGGAUGUGUCCCCACAGCUGAUGAGGAGGGGGAGCCUGGAGUCGCUGGGAGCCAGGAUAUCUAGGCUGAGCCAGAGUGGGGCUGAGACCCCCUGCCCGGCCACCUCCAAGCACCCAGCACAGGGGAGGGGGGAUGCAUCCCACUGGGGACCACGCUCCAAGGCAAAGCCCUCAGUCACCUCUCUGCAUGGUGGGGAUGGGGACGCUGGACAUCUCCGGAGACCCUCAAGCAACUCAACCAGCAGGAGCAGGGCCAGGGCCAUGGGACAUCGCAGAUGGCAGGAGCUACCAGCACAACGGGGGAGGCAUGGAGGGGAUGUCAUCCUCACUGCGGAGAAGGAAGGAAAUGGUGAUGGGAGGAGGAGAGCUCUCUGUGAGUGUGCUGCUGGCCUCAGGGUGCUGGAGCUGAAGCAGGCGACCAGGAGGGAUCACAGGGGGCUUGGUGGGGCUGGGGACCCUCCUGGGGCUGGGUGAUGGUGGGGCCAUGUGGCAGCGAGGGUGGGCAGCCCAGGGUCAGUCUCACUUGUUGGUGGGUUUGUGGUGUCCCCAGCCCUCUCUUACAGGCACCAAAGCAGCAGUGGAACCUGCUGGGAGAUGCAGCCCCCGGGCAGAGAGGCAGCAUGGGGUGUCCUGCCCAGGGCUUGCAGCAGAGCCCCGCUGGCAGUACUGGAAGCAGAAGGCCGUCCUGUCCCACAGGCUGGCAGCACUGCGCCGGGCCCUGAGGAGCAGCCAGGAGGGGAUGCAGGAGCCAGGAGCUGGAGAUUGGGGCAUGCAGAGCGAUGGGGAUGGGGUCAGGGCACGUGCGUGGGAUCGUGUGGAGAAAGUGCAGGAGCAGAAGGGCUGUGCUGGAUGCCCAGGGAACGUGAGGAGGAAAAUGCUGGAUCUCAGAGAAGAGAAGCGGGAGCUGCAGGAGAAGCUCUGUGGGCUGGAGCUCCAGAUGUGCUCCAUGCUGCGGCAGAGGCAGGAGGCCCUGGGGCAGCUGCGGGCAGUGCUGCAGAAGGAGAGGAUGGCUGCAAUCCAGCAGCUGCAGAAGAGCCUGGAGAAGGUGAAUGGGGCCGUUUGUCAGAAAUAUCACCUGGAAGAGCUGGCAGCCCCAAGAGCCCUGAAGGAGCCACCGACCCCAGCCAGAGCCCUGCGGGAUGCAGAGAUCACUGUGCCUGGCCUCCAGCAGCACCAACGUGGGGUCCCAGGGGUCCUGCACCACAUCCAGUGCUGCCUGCGGGAGCUGCAGGUGAAUGACUUCAGUGUGCUGGGAGCAGAGCUGGGCACGACAGCAAGUGAGGAGAGGUUCCUGAUGCCACCUCUUGCCGUUCCUCCAAGCCCCAAUGGGAACAAGCUCACUGCUACGAUCAGGACUCGAGAUGAAGCAUGGAGGAGAAUGCCCAAGGAGAGUUUCUCUGCGUGCGAGGGGGGAAAUGAGCAUUUCGUGCAGUACUGAUUGCUGCACUUUUGUGCAGGAGGAGAGAGGGGGUGCAAAUGGAAAUCUUUGUCUGCUUUCUUCCCAAUCAAAAUAAAAACGUUCCUCACGAUGUUUUUCUGGAGUGG
RNAcentral lists this long non-coding RNA (1802 nucleotides) under Phasianus colchicus (ring-necked pheasant). RNAcentral's name for it is "lncRNA (ENSPCLG00000005314.1)". The record is from RNAcentral. Lineage: Eukaryota; Metazoa; Chordata; Aves; Galliformes; Phasianidae.